UACGAAGGGGGCUAGCGUUGCUCGGAAUCACUGGGCGUAAAGCGCACGUAGGCGGAUUGUUAAGUCAGGGGUGAAAUCCUGGAGCUCAACUCCAGAACUGCCUUUGAUACUGGCGAUCUUGAGUCCGGGAGAGGUGAGUGGAACUGCGAGUGUAGAGGUGAAAUUCGUAGAUAUUCGCAAGAACACCAGUGGCGAAGGCGGCUCACUGGCCCGGUACUGACUCUGAGGUGCGAAAGCGUGGGGAGCAAACAGG
Molecule: ribosomal RNA, 253 nt
Filed under: uncultured bacterium
Lineage: Bacteria
Description: partial 16S ribosomal RNA
Rfam family: Bacterial small subunit ribosomal RNA
Source: RNAcentral